ACUCCUACGGGAGGCAGCAGUGGGGAAUCUUAGACAAUGGGCGCAAGCCUGAUCUAGCCAUGCCGCGUGAGUGAUGAAGGCCUUAGGGUCGUAAAGCUCUUUCGCCAGGGAUGAUAAUGACAGUACCUGGUAAAGAAACCCCGGCUAACUCCGUGCCAGCAGCCGCGGUAAUACGGAGGGGUUAGCGUUGUUCGGAAUUACUGGGCGUAAAGCGCGCGUAGGCGGAUUAGUCAGUUAGAGGUGAAAUCCCAGGGCUCAACCCUGGAACUGCCUUUAAUACUGCUAGUCUUGAGUUCGAGAGAGGUGAGUGGGAAUUCCGAGUGUAGAGGUGAAAUUCGUAGAUAUUCGGAGGAACACCAGUGGCGAAGGCGGCUCACUGGCUCGAUACUGACGCUGAGGUGCGAAAGUGUGGGGAGCAAACAGGAUUAGAUACCCUGGUAGCGACUGA
Molecule: ribosomal RNA, 448 nt
Filed under: uncultured bacterium
Lineage: Bacteria
Description: bacterial SSU rRNA
Rfam family: Bacterial small subunit ribosomal RNA
Source: RNAcentral